RNAcentral lists this long non-coding RNA (210 nucleotides) under Homo sapiens (human). Its description in RNAcentral is "HSALNT0342201". Lineage: Eukaryota; Metazoa; Chordata; Mammalia; Primates; Hominidae. The record is from RNAcentral.
UUCCUUCCUUUCUUCCUUCUUUCUUUCUUUCUUUCUUUCUUUCUUUCUUUCUUUCUUUCUUUCUUUCUUUCUCUCUUUCUUUCUUUCUCUCUUUCUUUCUUUCUUUCCUCUUUCUUUCUUUCUUUCUUUCUUUCUUUCUUUCUUUCCUUCUCUUUAUUUCUCUCUCUCUCUCUCUCUCUCUCUCUCUCUCUCUCUCUAUAUAUAUAUAUA